UCUGAAUCUGCGUACGGCUCCGCAAACCAGUUGUAAACCAAAGCAAGCAUACUCGGGGACUGCCCUUCACGGGGUGGGCUCGGGUGAUACGGAUAACCCUGGUAAUUCUGAGGCUAAUACGAGACUAUAAUCCCUGGCGGACCGGGCAACUGGGAAGCUGGGGGGCGUGCGAUCUAUUUGCAAGACGAUACCAGGAGGGGGUGCACGCUCUGACCGCGAUAAAGACGGUUCCGGUAAACCUUCGGGCGAGCUGGUUCCGAGCGGCUCUUGCGAUGUGCUUCUGACCUAUCAACUAGAUGGCAGCGUAACGGACAUGCCAUGGU
This 323-nucleotide ribosomal RNA is filed under the name Diderma niveum. RNAcentral's name for it is "bacterial SSU rRNA". It matches the Rfam family "Eukaryotic small subunit ribosomal RNA", at positions 80 to 350 of the family's 1831-position model. RNAcentral also lists the same sequence under 1 other name. The record is from RNAcentral. Lineage: Eukaryota; Evosea; Eumycetozoa; Physariida; Didymiaceae.